This is a long non-coding RNA of Micropterus salmoides (largemouth bass), 1483 nucleotides long. RefSeq lists it as uncharacterized. The transcript has 4 exons. NCBI's taxonomy places the organism in Eukaryota, Metazoa, Chordata, Actinopteri, Centrarchiformes, Centrarchidae. The record is from RefSeq and is a predicted model, not a curated record.
UCUGCUCUGUCUGCAGGUCUGCGUUUGGUCUCGUGUCUCUUCUGCUUCAGGUUUUGUGGACUUUCGAUUGUUGCCUUGUUCCUGUUUUGGAUCUCCGUGUGCUCCAUGAACUGGCUGCUUCACCUUUAGUCUGGGACCAAUUCUUCUUUUGUUUCAUGGUGAUGAUCACUGAGAAGACUAGUUCCUCUACUCCUGUGUCUGCACUUUGAAAUGAUAACAGUAUUAGCAUGACUGCGUAGAAAACACACGAAAUCUGACACGCCCACCAAACGGGAGAAAACAUACCUCGAAGCCCGUUGUUCCAAAGAAACAUGUCGUUCAAUCAGAAAACACUUGAUGGUCCCCGUGUCCGAACAGGAUUGGGUAUAAAAGCCUUGGUGUUUGCGGCACCUUCUGCUUGGAACCUUCUUCAGAACUCGUUGAAACUGACUGACAACUCUGAAGGAUCUGGAGCAGGUGAACAUUGGUCACAUGAUCAGCUGGUUUCACCACUGCAGAAGGGUGAGGAGUGAUUUGCUGAUGAAGAUUUUCAGAGAAACAAGUGAUGAGGAGGAAGCAGCUUCAUCAUGUCUCAGUUUGUCCACCAGAUGGAGACAAACACCAGGAAACCCUCAACACUGCAGGAGGAAAAUAAAACAAACCAUUCUGUUUGGUAAAUGGAAUUGGCAGCUUUAUUAAUAGUUUAUGCAUAUUUAGUCAUUUGGUUGGUAUAAAGCUGUAAAGUACAAAAGACCAACAGCACGCGGAGCUGAGAGAAGAAGAAGAUGAAGAAGAGGAGAGAGAAAGUUCUGUCUCGUCCUGCGGUCUGUGAAGGCCUGACGGCGGCGUCCUGAACAGACGAUCAGAGGACACGCCGCGAUUGGACAUCUGGAGCCGCCACUCAAACCUGCAUUCAUUAACCUCCUCUGUUAAUUAAUUAGUGACACGUCAGGUUCAAUUAGGAGCAAUUAACGAUGCGGAAUGAUGUUAAUCGACUCUGAUCACGUCGCCUGUCAGACCUGACCGGGGGCAGUGCGGCCUGUCAGACGAGCACGAGGGCCUCGGAGAAUCAGCAUUCAUGAUUUCACUUUAAAUCUUUAAUUACUUUUUCUCAUUAAUACAAUCAAUCAAUAAUAAAAUCUGGUGUUUCAUUAAAAAAGUGAGACUGAAACUUUGUUCUUCUUGUUCUCACCUGAUGUUUUCUCAGGCAGAAACAUAAAGAGAGAAUCCACAAAGAAGAAACUCAACGAUUUCCCCUCGUCCGGUGGAAACAGGAAAUGACUUCAGACUGAAACAGCCUGCACUGCAGUGAACGCAGCGUGUCGAGUUCAUUGUCUCCAGUUUCUGCCUGUUUCACUCUGCUGGUUGGACGUCAGGGCUCAGCUCACGAGGAGUGACGAUGUUGGUGUUAUCACCAGAAGAGACCAGAACAUAUUUGAACACUAUUUUAAAGAAAUAUUGGGGGUCUGAGGCUCUGAGGAUCUGGGGGGUCUGGGGGUCUGAG